GUUCUCGACGCAUAAACGUUGUGUGAUGUGGUUCAGUAAGAAAACAUCCGCCAUGACACUUAUUGCACCGAUAACUCGAUGAUGUUAGGGUGACGCACCGAUAAGGUUAGAGGCCCGAUAGCUGGCUUGUGAGGGGCCCUCGCCCUGCAGAGGAAUGUGCUGAGAUAUCGUGCCGAUACACCACUCUGCCCAGGGUGUAGUGGGGUGCCCUACAUACCCCAGCAAACUCUGGCACAACCCUUUAGCAAUGGCCAACUUGUUUGCGGUAAACCCAGCAGUCGCCAACCUAUCACAGAGCAGAGAGCAUCCUAGUUAUUUAUAGCAUGGCUCGUGGGGAGACUUGACAUUAAAAUGGUCAGCAACUGAUUCCAUUGCGAGACAAACAUCUUGAGCUGAACACGCUGCACACACUUCACGCUUCACUGCACACAGGUUGCAGACACACCAGAGAAAGCUGUCGCACUAGGCUGGGAAUGGAGGGAAGGGCGAAUAAACACGACAGAGGCCAGCCAGCAAACCAGCCGAGAAGUUCAAACUGCAGGGUCGAAAUGAGUCUAACCAAG
Molecule: long non-coding RNA, 563 nt
Organism: Pomacea canaliculata
Lineage: Eukaryota; Metazoa; Mollusca; Gastropoda; Architaenioglossa; Ampullariidae
Exons: 3
Source: RefSeq, a predicted model, not a curated record